Long non-coding RNA from Canis lupus familiaris (dog), 1124 nucleotides. RefSeq lists it as uncharacterized. NCBI's taxonomy places the organism in Eukaryota, Metazoa, Chordata, Mammalia, Carnivora, Canidae. The record is from RefSeq and is a predicted model, not a curated record. The transcript has 5 exons.
AUCUUGAUACGGCACCUAAACCCAGGAUCAAUCACCUUGCUCCCUGUGCAAGCAAGGAGAACUACCUCAAGGAAGGUACAGAACCAGCGAGAAGUCAUACAGUGAGGGAGCAUUGAAGAUGGAAUUUGAGCUCAGAACACCUGAAUCUGUAACCAUUCUAGCUCUGCUGCUGAAGAAAUGAUGGUAGACCUGCGUCUGGACACGUUGCUUCAUCUUUUGUGUGAUUCUAAUAGCAGACGUGGUAUAUUUUGGAUAGUAAAAUCAAUUCUGUUUGGAUUAUAAAAGGGAACAGGUGGCUGCAAUUUUAGCCAUUCUUCAAUAUCCAGUAAUAAGGCUGAAAGGAAGUCAUCUCUAUUUUUCCUGCUAAGUUGGAAAAAAAAGUGAAAAAUUGAAGAAUAUAAUUUAAUUGCUGCAGGAAAAUGGCUACCAAGUUCCGAUACACUAAUUUAUUCUCUGCCAGAAUGUUUAUAUUGUAUAAUUAUCUUAUAUGAGAGGAGGUUAUUUUAAUUCAUAUAUGGAAUAUGAGAAAGAACAAAAUAACACCCACUCAGCUCUGUCAGAUAUUAAAUGAUGAGAAGGUAAGACAAAUGACAUAAUCAGAAAACAAGCAAAGGGCUAAAAUAUAUUUACAUCAAAAUUUACAUGUUAAUUCUAAAAUAUUUAAAGCAUUAACAUUUCAGUUAUCUUCCUUCCAGUAAAGGCAACACCUGUUCUUAAUAAACAUAUUUUCCCCCAAUUGUCUGUUUUCUGAACGAGUUAUGGAAUUACUAGCAUUAAAACAUUUUAAUUAAAACAAAACCUUUGGCAUUGUAAUAUAGUCUUUAAUCUUUGGUAAACAUAUGACUUUGCAAGGGAACCCAUUACUGGAUAAAUGUUCCAUGUUGAAUUGAUCAGACCCAUUUCUAGAAUGUGUUGCCAAUUAAUUGGUUAAAGAAGCAUGCUUUUUACAAAACAAUGGAUGAUGCAUCUAUUCCCAUGACCUCACUCUAAGUACAUUGCCAUUUUAAGGUUUCUUUGUAAUUAUUAUUCUAAACUAUGAAAUUAUUGAUUGAUGUGCUUGUAAAUUGAUUAUGAAUAAAUUAUGUGUGUAUGUCUUUUUCUUUUAAUUGGCUUUAUUUUUCAAG